CGCGGGAUAGAGUAAUUGGUAACUCGUCAUAGUACUUAGAACGUUAUCUGAACGUUGUGGGUUCGACUCCCGCCA
RNAcentral lists this transfer RNA (75 nucleotides) under Apopellia endiviifolia. RNAcentral's name for it is "tRNA-fMet". Lineage: Eukaryota; Viridiplantae; Streptophyta; Jungermanniopsida; Pelliales; Pelliaceae. The record is from RNAcentral.